UAUUGCACAAUGGGGGAAACCCUGAUGCAGCGACGCCGCGCGAGUGAAGAAGUAUUUCGGUAUGUAAAGCUCUAUCAGCAGGGAAGAAAAUGACGGUACCUGACUAAGAAGCCCCGGCUAACUACGUGCCAGCAGCCGCGGUAAUACGUAGGGGGCAAGCGUUAUCCGGAUUUACUGGGUGUAAAGGGAGCGUCGACGGCAUAGCAAGUCUGAUGUGAAAGGUCGGGGCUCAAACCCGGGACUGCAUUGGAAACCGUUAAGCUGGAGUGCAGGAGAGGUAAGUGGAAUUCCUAGUGUAGCGGUGAAAUGCGUAGAUAUUAGGAGGAACACCAGUGGCGAAAGCGGCUUACUGGACUGUAACUGACGUUGAGGCUCGAAAGCGUGGGGAGCAAACAGG
Molecule: ribosomal RNA, 397 nt
Filed under: uncultured bacterium
Lineage: Bacteria
Description: bacterial SSU rRNA
Rfam family: Bacterial small subunit ribosomal RNA
Source: RNAcentral